Molecule: ribosomal RNA, 404 nt
Filed under: uncultured bacterium
Lineage: Bacteria
Description: bacterial SSU rRNA
Rfam family: Bacterial small subunit ribosomal RNA
Source: RNAcentral
UACUCUUGACAUCCUGCGAACUUUCGAGAGAUCGAUUGGUGCCUUCGGGAACGCAGAGACAGGUGCUGCAUGGCUGUCGUCAGCUCGUGUUGUGAAAUGUUGGGUUAAGUCCCGUAACGAGCGCAACCCUUGUCCUUAGUUGCCAUCAUUUAGUUGGGGACUCUAAGGAGACUGCCGGUGACAAACCGGAGGAAGGCGGGGACGACGUCAAGUCAUCAUGGCCCUUAUGGGAUGGGCUACACACGUGCUACAAUGGGGGGUACAAAGAGCAGCCAACUGGCGACAGUGCGCGAAUCUCAUAAAACCUCUCGUAGUCCGGAUCGGAGUCUGCAACUCGACUCCGUGAAGUCGGAAUCGCUAGUAAUCGUGAAUCAGAAUGUCACGGUGAAUACGUUCCCGGGCCU